RNAcentral lists this ribosomal RNA (484 nucleotides) under uncultured bacterium. Its description in RNAcentral is "partial 16S ribosomal RNA". It matches the Rfam family "Bacterial small subunit ribosomal RNA", at positions 30 to 507 of the family's 1533-position model. The record is from RNAcentral.
AUUGAACGCUGGCGGCAGGCCUAACACAUGCAAGUCGAGCGGAUGGAGGGAGCUUGCUCCUGGAUUCAGCGGCGGACGGGUGAGUAAUGCCUAGGAAUCUGCCUGGUAGUGGGGGAUAACGUCCGGAAACGGGCGCUAAUACCGCAUACGCCCUGAGGGAGAAAGUGGGGGAUCUUCGGACCUCACGCUAUCAGAUGAGCCUAGGUCGGAUUAGCUAGUUGGUGGGGUAAAGGCCUACCAAGGCGACGAUCCGUAACUGGUCUGAGAGGAUGAUCAGUCACACUGGAACUGAGACACGGUCCAGACUCCUACGGGAGGCAGCAGUGGGGAAUAUUGGACAAUGGGCGAAAGCCUGAUCCAGCCAUGCCGCGUGUGUGAAGAAGGUCUUCGGAUUGUAAAGCACUUUAAGUUGGGAGGAAGGGCAGUAAGUUAAUACCUUGCUGUUUUGACGUUACCAACAGAAUAAGCACCGGCUAACUUCGUG